RNAcentral lists this ribosomal RNA (397 nucleotides) under uncultured bacterium. RNAcentral describes it as "partial 16S ribosomal RNA". It matches the Rfam family "Bacterial small subunit ribosomal RNA", at positions 523 to 918 of the family's 1533-position model. The record is from RNAcentral.
AUACGUAGGUGACAAGCGUUAUCCGGAUUUACUGGGCGUAAAGGGCGUGUAGGCGGUCUUGCAAGUCAGAAGUGAAAUUCCUGAGCUCAACUCGGGCGCUGCUUCUGAAACUGCAGGACUUGAGUGCUGGAGGGGAUAGCGGAAUUCCUAGUGGAGCGGUAAAAUGCGCAGAUAUUAGGAAGAACACCGGUGGCGAAGGCGGCUAUCUGGACAGUAACUGACGCUGACGCGCGAAAGCGUGGGGAGCAAAAGGGAUGAGAUACCCUGGUAGUCCACGCCGUAAACGAUAAAUACUAGGUGUAGGGGGUAUCGACUCCCUCUGUGCCGCAGUUAACACAAUAAGUAUUCCGCCUGGGGAGUACGGCCGCAAGGUUGAAACUCAAAUGAAUUGACGGGG